CACGUAGGGCGCGAGCGUUGUCCGGAAUUAUUGGGCGUAAAGAGCUCGUAGGCGGCCUGUUGCGUCCGCUGUGAAAGCCCGGGGCUUAACCCCGGGUCGGCAGUGGAUACGGGCAGGCUAGAGGUAGGUAGGGGAGAAUGGAAUUCCCGGUGUAGCGGUGAAAUGCGCAGAUAUCAGGAGGAACACCGAUGGCGAAGGCAGGUCUCUGGGCAUUAACUGACGCUGAGGAGCGAAAGCAUGGGGAGCGAACAGG
Molecule: ribosomal RNA, 253 nt
Filed under: uncultured bacterium
Lineage: Bacteria
Description: partial 16S ribosomal RNA
Rfam family: Bacterial small subunit ribosomal RNA
Source: RNAcentral